AUUGAACGCUGGCGGCAGGCCUAACACAUGCAAGUCGAGCGGAUGAAGGGAGCUUGCUCCUGGAUUCAGCGGCGGACGGGUGAGUAAUGCCUAGGAAUCUGCCUGGUAGUGGGGGAUAACGUCCGGAAACGGGCGCUAAUACCGCAUACGUCCUGAGGGAGAAAGUGGGGGAUCUUCGGACCUCACGCUAUCAUAUGAGCCUAGGUCGGAUUAGCUAGUUGGUGGGUAAAGGCCUACCAAGGCGACGAUCCGUAACUGGUCUGAGAGGAUGAUCAGUCACACUGGAACUGAGACACGGUCCAGACUCCUACGGGAGGCAGCAGUGGGGAAUAUUGGACAAUGGGCGAAAGCCUGAUCCAGCCAUGCCGCGUGUGUGAAGAAGGUCUUCGGAUUGUAAAGCACUUUAAGUUGGGAGGAAGGGCAGUAAGUUAAUACCUUGCUGUUUUGACGUUACCAACAGAAUAAGCACCGGCUAACUUCGUG
RNAcentral lists this ribosomal RNA (483 nucleotides) under uncultured bacterium. RNAcentral's name for it is "partial 16S ribosomal RNA". It matches the Rfam family "Bacterial small subunit ribosomal RNA", at positions 30 to 507 of the family's 1533-position model. The record is from RNAcentral.